RNAcentral lists this long non-coding RNA (367 nucleotides) under Homo sapiens (human). RNAcentral's name for it is "non-protein coding lnc-PCDH15-3:1". Lineage: Eukaryota; Metazoa; Chordata; Mammalia; Primates; Hominidae. The record is from RNAcentral.
AAAGGGGGAACCAGGCCAAGGGCUCAGAGGCUUACAGGGCCCCCCUGGAAAGUUGGGGCCUCCAGGAAAUCCAGGGCCUUCUGGGUCACCAGGACCAAAGGGCCAAAAAGGAGACCCUGGAAAAAGUCCGGAUGGUGAUAGUAGCCUGGCUGCCUCAGAAAGAAAAGCUCUGCAAACAGAAAUGGCACGUAUCAAAAAGUGGCUCACCUUCUCUCUGGGCAAACAAGUUGGGAACAAGUUCUUCCUGACCAAUGGUGAAAUAAUGACCUUUGAUGCUGCAGAGAAUGGAGCCAUUCAGAAUCUCAUCAAGGAGGAAGCCUUCCUGGGCAUCACUGAUGAGAAGACAGAAGGGCAGUUUGUGGAUCUG